Molecule: ribosomal RNA, 407 nt
Filed under: uncultured bacterium
Lineage: Bacteria
Description: partial 16S ribosomal RNA
Rfam family: Bacterial small subunit ribosomal RNA
Source: RNAcentral
GACGAACGCUGGCGGCGUCCCUACUACAUGCAAGUAGAACGCAGUUGCGAACGGGUGAGUAACGCGUAGGUAACUGCCCCAUAGCGGGGGAUAACUAUUGGAAACGAUAGCUAAUACCGCAUACUGGGCGAUAGACCUGCGUUGUAUUAGCUAGUUGGUGAGGUAAAGGCUCACCAAGGCGACGAUACAUACCCACCCUGAGAGGUUGAUCGGCCACCCUGGGACUGAGACACGGCCCAGACUCCUACGGGAGGCGGCAGUAGGGAAUCUUCGGCAAUGGACGGAAGUCUGACCAGGCCACGCCGCGUGAGUGAAGAAGGUUUUCGGAUCGUAAAGCUCUGUUGUUAGUGAAUCGGUAACUAACCUGAAAGGGACGUCUCACUACGUGCCAGCAGCCGCGGUAAUAC